Long non-coding RNA from Ochotona curzoniae (black-lipped pika), 628 nucleotides. RefSeq lists it as uncharacterized. The record is from RefSeq and is a predicted model, not a curated record. The transcript has 3 exons. NCBI's taxonomy places the organism in Eukaryota, Metazoa, Chordata, Mammalia, Lagomorpha, Ochotonidae.
GCGGUGUCAGCCCUGUGAUGAGAACUGGCAGCAGCAUGGGAAGUACUGCUACUCCUUUUCUAGAAAUCUGAUUCCAUGGAGAGAUUGUCAACGCUACUGUUCAGAGUCACGUUCAAGCUUUCUUAAGUUAAACGUGGAAGAAGAGCUGGAGUUUUUGACAAGAUUGUCAAAAAGGGAAUGUCAUAUGAAUGAGAAAAACUUGGGGAUCAGUUUGUACUUCAAUAGCCGCCAAAUGAAGUGGGCUUGGCUGGAUGGCUCAGCCUUUACGUUGGACAAGCUUGGAUUAAAAAGACCUAACAAUACCUAUAAUCAGUGUAAAUUUAUUAGAAAUGCCAGGUUAAUUGAUGGGAGUUGUGAAGAGCAUGUGCAUUGUAUGUGUAAGAAGACAACCUAUGGACAUUAAAUUUUUAAAGGUUUAAAAAUAAAGGAAAUGGUGAAAGUUUUCUGAGAUAAUUUUUCACCUCAUGAAAGAAAGUCAAUGGUUAUGUAAAACCACGUGUCUUUAGAGUGCUAAAUCCCAUGCAAAUUAUCCAUAAUAAAUACAGCAUUAAUUUAUUUGAAGUUUAAUAACCAAAGAUUCAAACAUAAGCUAUCGUGAUUGAGAACCCGACAUGAAGAGCAGGAAGCU